Molecule: unclassified non-coding RNA, 897 nt
Filed under: Hevea brasiliensis (rubber tree)
Lineage: Eukaryota; Viridiplantae; Streptophyta; Magnoliopsida; Malpighiales; Euphorbiaceae
Source: RNAcentral
AAUGAUGUUAUUUACUCUUUGACGGCAAACUUCUCAGCCACGAUUGGUGAGUACUAUCACCGAGCAACGAUUGAUGAUAUGGGCAAUUUCCAACAAUAUGUUUACCAUAAAUCAAACGGUAGUGGAUGGAUAAGUGUGUGGAAGGCUAUCCAUGAACCUUGCUUUGUUAAUGCUGUAUGCGGUGUCAAUGGCAUGUGUUCUUCUCCGGAUAAUGAAACAGUGACCUGUAAUUGCAUACCAGGUUACAUUCCAUUGGAUCCUAAUCACGUUUCAAAAGGGUGUCACCCUGAAACUGUGGUGAAUUAUUGUGCAGACCCUUCAAUGAGAAAUUUCACAAUUGCGGUGAUUGAUGAUGCUGACUUCCCAUUCGAGGGUUUUGCAGAUCUGGAUAGAGUAUUGAAUGUUGAUGUGGAGGGAUGCAAAGUGGCUCUCAUGGAUGAUUGCUAUAGCAUUGCUGCUUCCUUGGUUGAUUCUAGAUGCAAUAAGAAAAGAAUGCCUCUGCUAAAUGCAAGAAAAAGUACUUCUACCAAGGGAAUCACUGCAUUUGUCAAGGUGCCACUGAAAAGCAGCAAUCCUGGCACUCGGGAAGGUGAGAAGAAAAAUCAUUUUAACUUUCGAGCUUUUCUGGAGAUUAGUCUUAUUGUUAGUGCCACUCUUGCUUUCGUGUUCGGAGCCACAGCCAUCUACUAUCAUCCAGCUACUAGAAAAUUUGUCAGAAGGAGGCACUCUUCUAAUACUACUAUAGGAGUCAACUUUCGAGAAUUCAAAUACGUGGAGCUGCAUGAGGCAACAAAUGGGUUUAGUAAGACCCUGGGAAGAGGAUCCUCUGGUAAAGUUUACAGUGGGGUUCUAAGCUUAAAGAAUGUGCGGAUCGAUGUUGCAGUAAAGAAGCUGGAG